CUGCCCUCAAGCACGGCUUGUGUGUUGGGCCCCCGUCCCCCGCCUCCCGGGGGACGGGCCCGAAAGGCAGCGGCGGCACCGCGUCCGGUCCUCGAGCGUAUGGGGCUCUGUCACCCGCUCUGUAGGCCCGGCCGGCGCCUGCCGACCACCAUCAAUCUUCUUUCA
This 165-nucleotide unclassified non-coding RNA is filed under the name uncultured Aspergillaceae. RNAcentral describes it as "sequence contains ITS2". Lineage: Eukaryota; Fungi; Ascomycota; Eurotiomycetes; Eurotiales; Aspergillaceae. The record is from RNAcentral.